AGACGGAGGGUGCAAGCGUUAAUCGGAAUUACUGGGCGUAAAGCGCUCGUAGGCGGCUUGUUAAGUCGGAUGUGAAAGCCCCGGGCUCAACCUGGGAACUGCAUUCGAUACUGGCAGGCUAGAGUAUAGUAGAGGCAAGUGGAAUUCCGGGUGUAGCGGUGAAAUGCGUAGAUAUCCGGAGGAACAUCAGUGGCGAAGGCGACUUGCUGGACUAAUACUGACGCUGAGGAGCGAAAGCGUGGGGAGCAAACGGGAUUAGAAACCCGGGUAGUCC
Molecule: ribosomal RNA, 274 nt
Filed under: uncultured bacterium
Lineage: Bacteria
Description: partial 16S ribosomal RNA
Rfam family: Bacterial small subunit ribosomal RNA
Source: RNAcentral